This 422-nucleotide ribosomal RNA is filed under the name uncultured bacterium. Its description in RNAcentral is "bacterial SSU rRNA". It matches the Rfam family "Bacterial small subunit ribosomal RNA", at positions 355 to 774 of the family's 1533-position model. The record is from RNAcentral.
UGAGGAAUAUUGGGCAAUGCCCGAAAGGGUGACCCAGCAACGCCGCGUGGAGGAUGAAGGUCGUAAGAUUGUAAACUCCUGUUAGAGGGGAAGAAUAACUAAGUUUGGAGCUUAGUAUGACUGUACCCUCAGAGAAAGCCCCGGCUAACUACGUGCCAGCAGCCGCGGUAAUACGUAGGGGGCAAGCGUUGUCCGGAUUUACUGGGUGUAAAGGGCGCGCAGGCGGAAUGGAAAGUCAGUGGUGAAAUCCUACAGCUUAACUGUAGAACUGCCUUUGAUACUUUCAUUCUUGAGUUCGGGAGAGAGAGACGGAAUUCCAGGUGUAGUGGUGAAAUACGUAGAUAUCUGGAAGAGCACCAGUUGCGAAGGCGGUCUCUUGGUCCGACACUGACGCUGAGGCGCGAAAGCGUGGGGAGCAAACA